GGGCCUAGUUCAAAAUGAAAAUGCCAGCUUCUUUGUUAGAAAAUUAUCAAGGAUUUCAAGACAGUGACAGCAUAGGAUGAAAUCAAGGGCCCUUCUAAGCACAAGGACAUUUUGUGACCACACAGGUUGCACACCCACAAAACUGACCCUGGGUACCUGUGAGUCAGCUCGCUGAAGCAGAUGUGAAAAUCAAGGCAGGUCAGCUGGGGGAUGUCUGGCUGCAGCCCCUAUACUCCCCACCCCUGCUGCCCUGUAACACCAGUUCCCAGACUUUUACCAGGCUUGGGACAUUGUCUCUCCAACAGCAGCCCCUCUCCCUGUGCUGACGGCAAUGGAGACUUUAUCUCUCAGAAAAGAGGGAAUCGCAAGGCCACGGUGGAAGGAGGGCUGAGGGCUGGAAUGAAGUGUGGCUCUGGGCUCUCGGGGCCUCUGAGUCCCAAAGCCCCCCAGGGAUUCUCUAGACAGGCCACUGGAGCCUUCUGAGUGAGCGUAUGGAGGUGUUUUGGAACAGGAUGGAGAAACAACAGAGACUACGCUCUGGGUCACCUCUUAAGGUCCCAAGAGGAUACAUCCUGUGCAUGUGUGACAGUCCAGGAGCAGAACCAAGAUCCAGGAAGCCUUCUCCCCACUUGGGAACUUACCUCCAACUCAAUGUGGUCGUGGAGUUUCUUGCAGGUCGCUGCAAAAGUCUCCGAGGUGCCAAAUUCAAAGUACCACAGCUUGUUCUUCAUCCUGGACCACAAAGCAGAGAGAUGUCUCAAUAUUCCAUACUUGAAAUGCUCAUGUAAAAUAGCUAUGUUCUUUGGAUUGGGAGGCCCAAGCCUUCAGCAAUUUCCCCAAUCUUACAUUUUCAGCACUUGUUAAUCAGAUGAUCAAGGAAUAGAAAUUUUUUACCAACUGUUCUUGCUCGGAACUUAGAGAAAAUCCACUUAUUUCUUAGACAUCACGGCAACCCUGGGUGAACUACCAACUGCUCCCCGAGUUUCCUGGUCAGAACAGGAAGAAGGUCUCUGUAGCUGCAUUAAGGAAAGAGCUCUACGAGAAGUCAAGCCAGAGGUGGCAAAUAUCAAUACAGUGCUCUGGCCACUGUCCUUUCCAUUACUCAGGCAGAACUCUCUUUUGGGUUGUAGCAGAUGACUCUCCAGAAUAAUAGACACAACUCUUUUCUGCAGAUUUCCCCAAGAGUCUACCUAGAACUUGAAGAUGAAACUGUGUUCUUCCAUUGUAUGAAGACUUCUGAGAUCUAGUUGGUUGGGAAAUAGCUUCUCUGACUCUUAGUAUGCAUGAAAAGAACUAAUAAAUGAUGAAGAAAGUAAGAGUAAGCAAGCUCUGGGAAUUAUGCCUCAUGAACAAAAUUAGAAGAGCUGGGUGUACUGUAAGCAGACCGGUGCUUCUCAACCCAUGUGCUGUGGCACAGGCGUACCUGGGAUGUCAGUCUCCUCAGCCUGCAGAGCAGCCAGGUGGGAUCUGGGACAGGCUGAGCCCCAAUGCCAUGGCAAACAUUCUCAUUUGUAUUCCCAGUGUGCCACACAUAGAUUUUCAUUUUCUAUGCAUGCCAUGAUGAUGUAAAAUAAUUGGGGGAAACAUUGUUCUAGAUGACUGGUUCUCUGCAUGCACAGUCAUGUGCAUAUCUAAUCACUUGGGGAUUUUAUGAAGAUGCACAUUCUGAUUCAGUGAUUUAGGGUUAGGGCCCAAGAUUCCUCAUCUUCAGUGCUGCUGGUCCAGGGGAUACUGUGAGUCAUGUGGAUCUGGAGACUAUGCCUGUGGUUCUCAAACAUUGGUAUUUAUAAGAAUUACCUGGGGAAUGUGAUUAAAGUGCUGCUUCCAGGGCUCCAAUCUGUAGAGAUUCUAUGAGAGAGUUGUGGAACGGGGCCCAGGAUUGUGCAUUUUUAUGUGUGUCCAAGUGAUCAUUAUGCAGAUGGUCAGUGGACAGGACAUUGCUGUAGAUCCCAGUGAAAUGAAAACAUGGAAAAGGACAGAACCAGUUAAACCUGAAGGAGAGAAUUCUCCAGGGAGGACAGAACGAGG
RNAcentral lists this long non-coding RNA (2028 nucleotides) under Homo sapiens (human). Its description in RNAcentral is "HSALNT0065765". Lineage: Eukaryota; Metazoa; Chordata; Mammalia; Primates; Hominidae. The record is from RNAcentral.